GUACUCGCUUCGGCAAUACAUAUACUAAAAUUGGAACGAUACAGAGAAAAUUAGUAUGGUCCCUGCGCAAAAACGUGAAACGUUCCACAUUUUG
Molecule: small nuclear RNA, 94 nt
Filed under: Danaus plexippus plexippus
Lineage: Eukaryota; Metazoa; Arthropoda; Insecta; Lepidoptera; Nymphalidae
Source: RNAcentral